RNAcentral lists this ribosomal RNA (253 nucleotides) under uncultured bacterium. RNAcentral describes it as "partial 16S ribosomal RNA". It matches the Rfam family "Bacterial small subunit ribosomal RNA", at positions 524 to 776 of the family's 1533-position model. The record is from RNAcentral.
UACGAAGGGGGCUAGCGUUGCUCGGAAUCACUGGGCGUAAAGCGCACGUAGGCGGACUCUUAAGUCGGUGGUGAAAUCCUGGAGCUCAACUCCAGAACUGCCUUUGAUACUGCAAAUCUCGAGUCCGGAAGAGGUGAGUGGAAUUCCUAGUGUAGAGGUGAAAUUCGUAGAUAUUAGGAAGAACACCAGUGGCGAAGGCGGCUCACUGGUCCGGUACUGACGCUGAGGUGCGAAAGCGUGGGGAGCAAACAGG